CCUACGGGUGGCAGCAGUGAGGAAUAUUGGUCAAUGGCCGGAAGGCUGAACCAGCCAAGCAGCGUGAAGGACGAAGGUGCCAAGCAUUGUAAACUUCUUUUGUCAAGGGACAAAAUCAGGCUCGAGAGCCUGACCGUGGGUACUUGAAGAAAAAGCAUCGGCUAACUCCGUGCCCGAACCCGCGGUAAUACGGAGGAUGCGAGCGUUAUCCGGUUUUAUUGGGUUUAAGGGGUGGGUAGGCGGCCUGUUAAUGCAGUGGGAAAAGCCGGGGGCUCAACACCGGAGAGCCGUUGAAACUGGCGGUCUUGAGAGGUCGAGGGGAAGGCGGAAUGCGCAGUGUAGCGGUGAAAUGCUUAGAUAUUGCGCAGAACUCCGAUUGCGAAGGCAGCAUACCGGCGGCGAUCUGACGCUGAGGCACGAAAGCGUGGGUAUCGAACAGGAUUAGAUACCCUAGUAGUC
RNAcentral lists this ribosomal RNA (459 nucleotides) under uncultured bacterium. RNAcentral describes it as "partial 16S ribosomal RNA". It matches the Rfam family "Bacterial small subunit ribosomal RNA", at positions 338 to 795 of the family's 1533-position model. The record is from RNAcentral.